GGCACGGUGGUUUAGUGGUUAGCACGCUCGCCUCGCACCUCUGGGGUUGGGGGUUUGAUUACCGCCCGUAUUU
Molecule: non-coding RNA, 73 nt
Organism: Ameiurus melas (black bullhead)
Lineage: Eukaryota; Metazoa; Chordata; Actinopteri; Siluriformes; Ictaluridae
Source: the annotation of a GenBank genome assembly